Molecule: ribosomal RNA, 253 nt
Filed under: uncultured bacterium
Lineage: Bacteria
Description: partial 16S ribosomal RNA
Rfam family: Bacterial small subunit ribosomal RNA
Source: RNAcentral
UACGGGGGGGGUAAGCGUUGUUCGGAAUUACUGGGCGUAAAGGGCGCGUAGGCGGCUUGGCAAGUGGAUGGUGAAAUCCCUCGGCUUAACCGAGGAACUGCCGUCCAAACUGCUUUGCUUGAGACCGGGAGAGGUGAGUGGAAUUCCCAGUGUAGCGGUGAAAUGCGUAGAUAUCGGGAGGAACACCUGUGGCGAAAGCGGCUCACUGGACCACAACUGACGCUGAUGCGCGAAAGCUAGGGGAGCAAACAGG